RNAcentral lists this ribosomal RNA (284 nucleotides) under Faecalibacterium prausnitzii. Its description in RNAcentral is "partial 16S ribosomal RNA". It matches the Rfam family "Bacterial small subunit ribosomal RNA", at positions 493 to 776 of the family's 1533-position model. The record is from RNAcentral. Lineage: Bacteria; Bacillati; Bacillota; Clostridia; Eubacteriales; Oscillospiraceae.
UCUUUUCAUUGUGUGCCAGCCGCCGCGGUAAAACGUAGGUCACAAGCGUUGUCCGGAAUUACUGGGUGUAAAGGGAGCGCAGGCGGGAAGACAAGUUGGAAGUGAAAUCUAUGGGCUCAACCCAUAAACUGCUUUCAAAACUGUUUUUCUUGAGUAGUGCAGAGGUAGGCGGAAUUCCCGGUGUAGCGGUGGAAUGCGUAGAUAUCGGGAGGAACACCAGUGGCGAAGGCGGCCUACUGGGCACCAACUGACGCUGAGGCUCGAAAGUGUGGGUAGCAAACAGG